UACAGAGGUCUCAAGCGUUGUUCGGAUUCAUUGGGCGUAAAGGGUGCGUAGGCGGCGCGGUAAGUCGGGUGUGAAAUCUUGGAGCUUAACUCCGAAACUGCAUUCGAUACUGCCGUGCUUGAGGACUGGAGAGGAGACUGGAAUUUACGGUGUAGCGGUGAGAUGCGUAGAUAUCGUAAGGAAGACCAGUGGCGAAGGCGGGUCUCUGGACAGUUCCUGACGCUGAGGCACGAAGGUCAGGGGAGCAAACGGG
RNAcentral lists this ribosomal RNA (253 nucleotides) under uncultured bacterium. RNAcentral describes it as "partial 16S ribosomal RNA". It matches the Rfam family "Bacterial small subunit ribosomal RNA", at positions 524 to 776 of the family's 1533-position model. The record is from RNAcentral.